RNAcentral lists this ribosomal RNA (453 nucleotides) under uncultured Porphyromonadaceae bacterium. Its description in RNAcentral is "partial 16S ribosomal RNA". It matches the Rfam family "Bacterial small subunit ribosomal RNA", at positions 341 to 792 of the family's 1533-position model. Lineage: Bacteria; Pseudomonadati; Bacteroidota; Bacteroidia; Bacteroidales; Porphyromonadaceae. The record is from RNAcentral.
ACGGGAGGCAGCAGUGAGGAAUAUUGGUCAAUGGGCGGAAGCCUGAACCAGCCAAGUCGCGUGAAGGAAGACGGUAUUAUGUAUUGUAAACUUCUUUAGACGUAGAGAAAUAAGCGGGACGCGUCCCGCGAUGCUAGUAUACGUAGAAUAAGGAUCGGCUAACUCCGUGCCAGCAGCCGCGGUAAUACGGAGGAUCCGAGCGUUAUCCGGAUUUAUUGGGUUUAAAGGGUGCGCAGGCGGCAUGCUAAGUCAGCGGUUAAAUAGCGAGGCUCAACCUCGUCCCGCCGUUGAUACUGGCAAGCUUGAUUGCGGUCGAGGUUGGCGGAAUUCGCCGUGUAGCGGUGAAAUGCAUAGAUAUGGCGAAGAACUCCGAUUGCGUAGGCAGCUGACCAGGCCGUAAAUGACGCUCAUGCACGAAAGUGCGGGGAUCGAACAGGAUUAGAUACCCUGGUA